UACGUAGGGCGCAAGCGUUGUCCGGAUUUAUUGGGCGUAAAGAGCGUGUAGGCGGCCAUGUAGGUCCGGUGUGAAAACUCGAGGCUUAACCUCGAGAUGUCAUCGGAAACCAUUUGGCUAGAGUCCGGAAGAGGAGAGUGGAAUUCCUGGUGUAGCGGUGAAAUGCGCAGAUAUCAGGAGGAACACCAAUGGCGAAGGCAGCUCGCUGGGACGUGACUGACGCUGAGACGCGAAAGCGUGGGGAGCAAACAGG
Molecule: ribosomal RNA, 253 nt
Filed under: uncultured bacterium
Lineage: Bacteria
Description: partial 16S ribosomal RNA
Rfam family: Bacterial small subunit ribosomal RNA
Source: RNAcentral